GACUACACAUUUUCUGCCCCACUGAAAACAUCUUGACAAGAGACCACCAUGAAAAUGAAUCAAAUUUUGACAUUGUGCCUCGGGAUGCUGCUUUUAACCUUACCCUUUUCAACCUCAGAGGACAAAGGCUCAGCAAAAGAUGGUGAGCAAAAACCAGCCUCGCAACCGACAAACAACACCAAUACCAACACUGCGGGGGCCACCGAUGCUGCAGGACUGGAUGUGUUGCCCACCAUGCUGUGUUUACUGAUUCCAGCUGCCACCCUCAGCUUCAUGCACUGAACUGGCUGGAGAGUGUUUUGAUGUAACCCAGAAAGACGGACAGCCAGUCACAUGAAGAGAGAGAUUUUCCACAGUUCUGGAAGACACAUAAAUAAAGCAAGAUGCCACAGCAAUUCAAAUUAGAAAAAGAUUUUGUUUAUUUGUUAAUAUAAAUAUUUCUGGAAAAAAAAAAAAACGGCUUUAAAAGGACAACACCCAACAAAGCCACACAGAUGGACUCUUGCCCCAUUUUUGAAAAUACCCAUCAGCUGUGAUUUCCUUGUUCAAAAUUAAACAUGAUAAUUCAGUUAUACAAUAUUUUUGGCUUGAUUGUAAUUAUAAUGAUUAAGAAUAUGUCUAUAUGCACAAUUAAAGUGGAUGAU
This 644-nucleotide long non-coding RNA is filed under the name Danio rerio (zebrafish). RNAcentral's name for it is "si:ch211-214p16.1 (si:ch211-214p16.1)". Lineage: Eukaryota; Metazoa; Chordata; Actinopteri; Cypriniformes; Danionidae. The record is from RNAcentral.